GCCUAAUACUGCAAGUCGAGCGGACAGAUGGGAGCUUGCUCCCUGAUGUUAGCGGCGGACGGGUGAGUAACACGUGGGUAACCUGCCUGUAAGACUGGGAUAACUCCGGGAAACCGGGGCUAAUACCGGAUGCUUGUUUGAACCGCAUGGUUCAAACAUAAAAGGUGGCUUCGGCUACCACUUACAGAUGGACCCGCGGCGCAUUAGCUAGUUGGUGAGGUAAUGGCUCACCAAGGCGACGAUGCGUAGCCGACCUGAGAGGGUGAUCGGCCACACUGGGACUGAGACACGGCCCAGACUCCUACGGGAGGCAGCAGUAGGGAAUCUUCCGCAAUGGACGAAAGUCUGACGGAGCAACGCCGCGUGAGUGAUGAAGGUUUUCGGAUCGUAAAGCUCUGUUGUUAGGGAAGAACAAGUACCGUUCGAAUAGGGCGGUACCUUGACGGUACCUAACCAGAAAGCCACGGCUAACUACGUGCCAGCAGCCGCGGUAAUACGUAGGUGGCAAGCGUUGUCCGGAAUUAUUGGGCGUAAAGGGCUCGCAGGCGGUUUCUUAAGUCUGAUGUGAAAGCCCCCGGCUCAACCGGGGAGGGUCAUUGGAAACUGGGGAACUUGAGUGCAGAAGAGGAGAGUGGAAUUCCACGUGUAGCGGUGAAAUGCGUAAAGAUGUGGAGGAACACCAGUGGCGAAGGCGACUCUCUGGUCUGUAACUGACGCUGAGGAGCGAAAGCGUGGGGAGCGAACAGGAUUAGAUACCCUGGUAGUCCACGCCGUACACGAUGAGUGCUAAGUGUUAGGGGGUUUCCGCCCCUUAGUGCUGCAGCUAACGCAUUAAGCACUCCGCCUGGGGAGUACGGUCGCAAGACUGAAACUCACAGGAAUUGACGAGCGCCCGCACAACCGGUGGAGCAUGUGGUUUAUUUCGAAGCAACGCGAAGAACCUUACCAGGUCGUGACAUCCUCUGACAAUCCUAGAGAUAGGACGUCCCCU
RNAcentral lists this ribosomal RNA (991 nucleotides) under Bacillus subtilis. RNAcentral describes it as "bacterial SSU rRNA". It matches the Rfam family "Bacterial small subunit ribosomal RNA", at positions 46 to 1019 of the family's 1533-position model. The record is from RNAcentral. Lineage: Bacteria; Bacillati; Bacillota; Bacilli; Caryophanales; Bacillaceae.